CUACGGGGCGCACCAGUGGGGAAUAUUGCACAAUGGGCGCAAGCCUGAUGCAGCCAUGCCGCGUGUAUGAAGAAGGCCUUCGGGUUGUAAAGUACUUUCAGCGGGGAGGAAGGGAGUAAAGUUAAUACCUUUGCUCAUUGACGUUACCCGCAGAAGAAGCACCGGCUAACUCCGUGCCAGCAGCCGCGGUAAUACGGAGGGUGCAAGCGUUAAUCGGAAUUACUGGGCGUAAAGCGCACGCAGGCGGUUUGUUAAGUCUGAUGUGAAAUCCCCGGGCUCAACCUGGGAACUGCAUCUGAUACUGGCAAGCUUGAGUCCCGUAGAGGGGGGUAGAAUUCCAGGUGUAGCGGUGAAAUGCGUAGAGAUCUGGAGGAAUACCGGUGGCGAAGGCGGCCCCCUGGACGAAGACUGACGCUCAGGUGCGAAAGCGUGGGGAGCAAACAGGAUUAGAUACCCCUGUAGUC
Molecule: ribosomal RNA, 464 nt
Filed under: uncultured bacterium
Lineage: Bacteria
Description: partial 16S ribosomal RNA
Rfam family: Bacterial small subunit ribosomal RNA
Source: RNAcentral